UGGAUAAGAGGAUCAGAUUUGUGGACAAACAAACGGAGAACUCACAAAACUCGAUACUCCCUCUCCGCUCCCAGCUACCUCAUUCUCCAUCUUUACCCUUCCUCACAUCUCUGUUCUUCCUCUCCAAUUUCAUUCAGUCGUUUCCACCGCAACUGUAGCUCCCGGAUCACCUUUAUCCGCUCCGAAGUCCAAUCAACGUCCGCCAUCCCAGCCUCAUCCAACCGAACAAACACCGCCCUGCCCUGUAAACUUCCGAACCUUCAGCCAACUACCUCGAUCUCAUUCCUCUCUCCGUUUGAUAUUGAUUUUGUUGUGAAUUUAAUGAUA
This is a non-coding RNA of Vicia faba (fava bean), 327 nucleotides long. Lineage: Eukaryota; Viridiplantae; Streptophyta; Magnoliopsida; Fabales; Fabaceae. The record is from the annotation of a GenBank genome assembly.